Non-coding RNA from Python bivittatus (Burmese python), 191 nucleotides. The record is from RefSeq and is a predicted model, not a curated record. Lineage: Eukaryota; Metazoa; Chordata; Lepidosauria; Squamata; Pythonidae.
CAAGACAAGACAAGACAAGACAAGACAAGACAAGACUUGCAAGUAGUCAAGCAAUGGAGACACCAGAUAAAUUCCUGUAUAAAUACAAAGGAUUCUAUUUCAUAACAGACCUGGUCUCACCUGAAACUAUAGAUUCACUGGACAGUUUUGAAAUCCGAGAUGAUGAUGUAUGCAUAAUCACAUAUCCUAAA